UACGUAGGGUGCAAACGUUGUUCGGAAUUACUGGGCGUAAAGCGCGUGUAGGCGGCCAUCUAAGUCGGGCGUGAAAUCCCACGGCUCAACCGUGGAAGUGCACUCGAAACUGGAUGGCUAGAGUCCUGGAGAGGAAGGUGGAAUGCUUGGUGUAGAGGUGAAAUUCGUAGAUAUCAAGCGGAACACCGGUGGCGAAGGCGGCCUUCUGGACAGUGACUGACGCUGAGACGCGAAAGCGUGGGGAGCAAACAGGG
This 254-nucleotide ribosomal RNA is filed under the name uncultured bacterium. Its description in RNAcentral is "partial 16S ribosomal RNA". It matches the Rfam family "Bacterial small subunit ribosomal RNA", at positions 524 to 777 of the family's 1533-position model. The record is from RNAcentral.